This 417-nucleotide long non-coding RNA is filed under the name Macaca mulatta (Rhesus monkey). RNAcentral describes it as "lncRNA (ENSMMUG00000058035.1)". Lineage: Eukaryota; Metazoa; Chordata; Mammalia; Primates; Cercopithecidae. The record is from RNAcentral.
CGCGCACGCCGCACGCGCACGCCGCACGCGCACGCCGCACGCCGGCUUGGCUUGCCUGUAACGGGCUAGGCGUGGCUUUGUGUUCCUAGCUUGGCUUGGUGUUCGUAGCUUGGCUUGGCCUUAGUCGCUUUGCCUGGAGUUUCUUGCUUGGAUUGGCAUUUCCUCCCUCGCAUUCCUUUGCUGGGCUUGACCUUUUCUUUGCUGGGAGGAGCGGCAAGAGCAACGUGGGUGCUUGGGAAGACUACGACGACAGCGCCUUCAUGGAGCCCCGGUACCACGUCCGUCAAGAAGAUAUGGGCAAGCUCCACAGAGCUGCCUGAUGGGGUAAAGUCCCCAGAAAGGAUCUCAUCUACAUGCUCAGGGGCACUGAAGUGAACAAGAGGGACAAGCAAAAGAGGUAACCGGGCCUGGGCUGGG